Small nuclear RNA from Monodelphis domestica (gray short-tailed opossum), 107 nucleotides. The record is from Ensembl. NCBI's taxonomy places the organism in Eukaryota, Metazoa, Chordata, Mammalia, Didelphimorphia, Didelphidae.
GUGCUUGCUUUGGCAGCACAUAUACUAAAAUUGGAAUGAUACAGAGAAGAUUAGUAUGGCACCUGCGCAGGAAUAACAUGCAAAUUUGUGAAGCAUUCCAUUUUUUU